AUCUUUUUCUGUGUAACAAAUAACCCCUAGAACUUAGACCCUAAAAUAACAAACACGAUGUCAUAGUUUAUUUGGGUGAGGAAUCUGAGUGUGACUUUCCUUGGUCCUCUUGUUCGGGGUCUCACAGGCUGCAAUCAAGGUAUCAGCCAGGACUGCAGUCAGCUCAAGCUUAAGCAGGGAGGAUUAGCUUCCAAGCUCACUCAUGCAUUUGUUGGCAAGAUUCCAUUUCGGGUUGUUGGAACAAAGGCCUCGAAUCCUUGCUGGCUGUCCUAGUUCUUUGCAGCAUGUACCUCUCCAUAGGGCAGGAAACACAUGGCAGCUGGGUUCAGCACAGCAAGCAAGAGAGAAUGUGUAAGAAAAUGCUAGCAAGAUGAGAGCCAUGGUGUUUUGGUAACCUAAAUACAGUUUGCCUUUUGUGUUUGUGGAUUCCUGUGUAUGGAUUUAAUCAACCACUAAUCAACAGUAGAGACUCCAAAAAGCGGUCGUAAUACCAGCAUUUUUAAUAUUACCGCUGGAAGGCUUAGAAGUGUGUCUUUGCAAUGACAAAAUACAUUGAGAAGCAAUUUACAUCCUAAAUAAUUGUGGCUGAAUGAAAAUGGAGAUUGACAAAAAGAUCUUAUCAGUUUUUCUGUUUUGGAAGUUGAGGAAGACGUGUUAUAUUCCUAUAUUAGAAGAUCUAUUUAUGCUGAUUAAUAUGAGCCAGAAGAGAAAAGGGAUGGAUGAUGCAGAAGACACAUAGAGAUCUGAUAAAGUGAAAAUUCUUACAGUGGCAAAAAGAUGGGUUUCAGUAUGCUUUUGUACAUUAGGGAACUCAUUUUCCUCUGGGUGGUUAAAAGAUUGCCAAGGAGAAUUUUAGCAUCGACAGUUUUAAAGGAAUCAAUUUUCAGCAACUCAAUUUUCAUGUGAACUUUUCUAAAGCGAUGUCGCUGAAAAAUUUAUCUAUACUCAGGAUACACUUUUUUGUUCCCAAAAGAAUGGCAUCAUUCAAAAUCUUAAUGUAGUGCAUUAUCCUGUGGUGGAUUACUUCUGGAGUAACAAAUAGCAAGGCUAUCUAACGAUAAUUCAAUAUUUCAGUCUAAAGUUUCUCAUUCUUCAUGUUCCAUCUACAUUUCUCUCUCUCUCUCUUUCUCUGUCUGUCUAUCUAUCUAUCUAUCUAUCUAUCUAUCUAUCUAUCUAAUCUAUCUAUCUACCAAUCUAUCUACCUUUCUAUCUAUCAUCUAUCUGAUCUAUCUCUAGUAAAGUGAAGCCUGGCAUUUAGAAAAGUGGCGUAUUCAUCCAUGUUGAGGUGUUGUGAGUUAAGAUAUAGGUAGGAAUAAAAUGGAAAACACUUUCCUUAAAUAUAUUUUAUAUUCUCCUACUAUUGAUUCCUUUACAACUAUUUCAAUUUAAGAAGAAAAAUGUCAGAUAGUGUGAUAUGAAUCAUGUUUGAGAAAUAUUUCCUUGAGAGUUUGACUAGUGCAACAAAAAAUAUCUGUAAGGGACAAUGAAUGUUAAAAAUGGUUUUAUUCCUGUGCUCGAGCAAAACCUACUCUUUUUAUGUAUUCUCAAUUUUCAGCCCUAGAAUGUGUUAUUAACUUGAAAGAAAAACUCUCCCAAAGAUCUAAAAGUUAUGCUGAUUUUUUAGAAAUAACUAAAGGUUUUCAAGACUACCAAAAUUUCAAGCUACAUGGGACAAUUACCAAUGUAUGGUGUGUGAGGGGAAGACUGUAGUAAGUUUAGAUGUCACUGAAUAUUUUUCACUAAGGGAUUUAAAGCAUUUUAUACUAUACAAAACAAUAAAAUGUCUAUUUUAU
This 1793-nucleotide long non-coding RNA is filed under the name Homo sapiens (human). Its description in RNAcentral is "HSALNT0374398". The record is from RNAcentral. Lineage: Eukaryota; Metazoa; Chordata; Mammalia; Primates; Hominidae.